GACGAACGCUGGCGGCACGCUUAACACAUGCAAGUCGAACGGAGAUAUUUUGAGUUUACUUAGGAUAUCUUAGUGGCGGACGGGUGAGUAACACGUGAGCAACCUGCCUUGGAGAGAGGGAUAGCUUCUGGAAACGGAUGGUAAUACCUCAUAACAUACAGAGACCGCAUGAUUUCUGUAUCAAAGAUUUAUCACUCUGAGAUGGGCUCGCGUCUGAUUAGCUAGAUGGUGAGGUAACGGCCCACCAUGGCGACGAUCAGUAGCCGGACUGAGAGGUUGAACGGCCACAUUGGGACUGAGACACGGCCCAGACUCCUACGGGAGGCAGCAGUGGGGAAUAUUGCACAAUGGGGGAAACCCUGAUGCAGCGAUGCCGCGUGGAGGAAGAAGGUUUUCGGAUUGUAAACUCCUGUCUUAAAGGACGAUAAUGAC
Molecule: ribosomal RNA, 432 nt
Filed under: bacterium AD2003
Lineage: Bacteria
Description: bacterial SSU rRNA
Rfam family: Bacterial small subunit ribosomal RNA
Source: RNAcentral